GAUGAACGCUAGCGGGAGGCUUAAUACAUGCAAGUCGAACGGUAAGGUCUAGCUUGCUAGAUACACGAGUGGCGCACGGGUGAGUAACGCGUACACAACCUACCCUUAAGAGGGGGAUAGCCCUGGGAAACUAGGAUUAAUACCCCAUAAUAUUGUGAUUUUUACGGAUAACACAAUUAAAGCUCCGGUGCUUAAGGAUGGGUGUGCGUAUGAUUAGCUAGUUGGUAAGGUAACGGCUUACCAAGGCGACGAUCAUUAGGGGGCGUGAGAGCGUGAACCCCCACACGGGUACUGAGACACGGACCCGACUCCUACGGGAGGCAGCAGUAAGGAAUAUUGGACAAUGGGCGCAAGCCUGAUCCAGCCAUCCCGCGUGAAGGAUGACUGCCCUAUGGGUUGUAAACUUCUUUUAUAUACCAAGAAUAGCAUUGAUUUAUCAGUGUGUGACGGUAGUAUAUGAAUAAGCACCGGCUAACUCCG
RNAcentral lists this ribosomal RNA (480 nucleotides) under uncultured Saprospiraceae bacterium. RNAcentral's name for it is "bacterial SSU rRNA". It matches the Rfam family "Bacterial small subunit ribosomal RNA", at positions 28 to 505 of the family's 1533-position model. The record is from RNAcentral. Lineage: Bacteria; Pseudomonadati; Bacteroidota; Saprospiria; Saprospirales; Saprospiraceae.